UGAACGCUGGCGGCGUGCCUAAUACAUGCAAGUCGAGCGAACAGACGAGGAGCUUGCUCCUCUGACGUUAGCGGCGGACGGGUGAGUAACACGUGGAUAACCUACCUAUAAGACUGGGAUAACUUCGGGAAACCGGAGCUAAUACCGGAUAAUAUAUUGAACCGCAUGGUUCAAUAGUGAAAGACGGUUUUGCUGUCACUUAUAGAUGGAUCCGCGCCGCAUUAGCUAGUUGGUAAGGUAACGGCUUACCAAGGCGACGAUGCGUAGCCGACCUGAGAGGGUGAUCGGCCACACUGGAACUGAGACACGGUCCAGACUCCUACGGGAGGCAGCAGUAGGGAAUCUUCCGCAAUGGGCGAAAGCCUGACGGAGCAACGCCGCGUGAGUGAUGAAGGUCUUCGGAUCGUAAAACUCUGUUAUUAGGGAAGAACAAAUGUGUAAGUAACUAUGCACGCCUUGACGGUACCUAAUCAGAAAGCCACGGCUAACUACGU
This 494-nucleotide ribosomal RNA is filed under the name uncultured bacterium. RNAcentral's name for it is "partial 16S ribosomal RNA". It matches the Rfam family "Bacterial small subunit ribosomal RNA", at positions 30 to 506 of the family's 1533-position model. The record is from RNAcentral.